Molecule: ribosomal RNA, 492 nt
Filed under: uncultured bacterium
Lineage: Bacteria
Description: partial 16S ribosomal RNA
Rfam family: Bacterial small subunit ribosomal RNA
Source: RNAcentral
GAUGAACGCUCGCUACAGGCUUAACACAUGCAAGUCGAGGGGAAACGGCAUUAAGUGCUUGCACUUUUUGGACGUCGACCGGCGCACGGGUGAGUAACGCGUAUCCAACCUUCCCAUGACUAAGGGAUAACCUGCCGAAAGGCAGACUAAUACCUUAUGGUCUUCACUGACGGCAUCAGAUGUGAAGUAAAGAUUUAUCGGUUAUGGAUGGGGAUGCGUCUGAUUAGCUUGUUGGCGGGGUAACGGCCCACCAAGGCAACGAUCCGUAGGGGUUCUGAGAGCAAGGUCCCCCACAUUGGAACUGAGACACAGACCAAAAUGCUACGGGAGGCAGCGGUGAGGAAUAUUGGGCAAUGGGCGAUAGCCUGAACCAGCCAAGUAGCGUGCAGGAUGACGGCCCUAUGGGUUGUAAACUGCUUUUGUAUGGGGAUAAAGUCAAUCACGUGUGAUUGUUUGCAGGUACCAGACGAAUAAGGACCGGCUAAUUCCGUG